CAGUAGCCACGGUAAUACAGAGGGUGCGAGCGUUAAUCGGAUUUACUGGGCGUAAAGCGUGCGUAGGCGGCUUCUUAAGUCGGAUGUGAAAUCCCUGAGCUUAACUUAGGAAUUGCAUUCGAUACUGGGAAGCUAGAGUAUGGGAGAGGAUGGUAGAAUUCCAGGUGUAGCGGUGAAAUGCGUAGAGAUCUGGAGGAAUACCGAUGGCGAAGGCAGCCAUCUGGCCUAAUACUGACGCUGAGGUACGAAAGCAUGGGGAGCAAACAGGAUUAGAUACCCCCGUAGUCCCUGUCUCUUAUAA
Molecule: ribosomal RNA, 301 nt
Filed under: uncultured bacterium
Lineage: Bacteria
Description: partial 16S ribosomal RNA
Rfam family: Bacterial small subunit ribosomal RNA
Source: RNAcentral